RNAcentral lists this ribosomal RNA (449 nucleotides) under uncultured bacterium. RNAcentral's name for it is "partial 16S ribosomal RNA". It matches the Rfam family "Bacterial small subunit ribosomal RNA", at positions 29 to 523 of the family's 1533-position model. The record is from RNAcentral.
AACGAACGCUGGCGGCAGGCCUAACACAUGCAAGUCGAACGCCCUGGCAACAGGGAGUGGCGGACGGGUGAGUAACGCGUGGGAACGUGCCCUUCGGCUCGGAAUAACUCAGGGAAACUUGAGCUAAUACCGGAUACGUUCGAGAGCAGAAAGAUUUAUCGCCGAAGGAUCGGCCCGCGUCCGAUUAGCUAGUUGGUGAGGUAAUGGCUCACCAAGGCGACGAUCGGUAGCUGGUCUGAGAGGAUGAUCAGCCACACUGGGACUGAGACACGGCCCAGACUCCUACGGGGGGCAGCAGUGGGGAAUAUUUGACAAUGGGCGCAAGCCUGAGCCAGCCAUGCCGAGUGAGUGAUGAAGGCCCUAGGGUUGUAAAGCUCUUUCGCCAGGGACGAUAAUGACGGUACCUGGAUAAGAAGCCCCGGCUAACUUCGUGCCAGCCGCCCCCGUAA